Molecule: transfer RNA, 96 nt
Filed under: Rhodococcus erythropolis
Lineage: Bacteria; Bacillati; Actinomycetota; Actinomycetes; Mycobacteriales; Nocardiaceae
Also listed under: 2 other names
Description: tRNA-Arg
Source: RNAcentral
GGUCGACACUCCGACCAGGUGGGAAGUCCGCUUUCGAGGUGGGCGAGGUCGACCGCCACGGUAGCGGCCGUCUGUUCGGGAUGGGGUUGACCACCA